AAAAUGAGUGACGCCAUGCUACCUAAUGGGGAAUUUAUUAUUAGUAGUGACACAGAUUCAGAUGAAGUCAAGGCAGUCAUGAAAAACGAGGAAGCCCAUAGUGUUAAUAAAAAGAAAAAGAAGAAGCAUAAGCACAAACACAAGCAUAAACAUUCUUCUCAUAAGUCGAAGAAACAUGAUUCACAUAGUAAACAUGAUUCACAUAGUAAACAUAAGCACCGGCAUGCAGAGAAAAAAGAAGUAAAUAAUAUGGAAUUAGAUGAGCUUGAAAAGCAAAAAGCAUUAAUAGAAGCAAAACUUGCUAAGGUAGAUGCUGCUGUAAUUCAUGGCUCUCUGGUCUCUGCAGAUUAUGGCAGUUCCGAUGAGGGUAGUUCCAUGACGUUAGAAAAUGUUCCAAAAAUUAGUAAAGAAUUAAUCCCUAGUAAGUUGAUAUUGGAUGAGACAAAGACUGUUCAACUCAAAGAAACAUUGAGUCAUAAAAAAGACAAAAGUGAUAAGUCUGAAUCAAAAAGGAAAAAUUCUUCUAAAGAGCAACAUAGUUCUAAAGAAAGUCACGAUUUUGAAAAACAUAUGAAAAGUUUAUCUAAGCAUAAUUCUGCCUUAUUUGAUCAGAAUUCUGAGAAAAUAUAUAGUAAAAGAGACAAAAAGGAAGUUCUCGAUUCUCGAAAUCAAGAAAAAUCUCCAAAACACAGAGCUCAUUCUCCAUCAAGGAAUAAGCAUUCAUCUAGAGGUGAAUCAUUUGUUAAUUCCAAUCUGAAAAACCGCUCCCCACCUCGACGACAUGAUGUAAAAAAAAUGCCUUCUCCUCGUAGCAAUGAAAGGAGCUGGAUAUCUCCUCCAAAAUCUCAUCGUAAGAGCCCAUCCUCACCUAAAUUACAUCAUCGCCGCAGUCCGUCACCAAAUAAAUUGCAUCAUAGACGAAGUCCAUCAGUGACAAUGUUACCUCAUCGUCAUUCUCCAUCUCCAAUAAAGCAACUUCAUCGUCAUAGUCCAUCUCCAGCAAAGUUCCCUCAUCGGCGAAGCCCAUCUCCAAAAUCCUCAGCUCAUAGGAGUGAAAAGGUUAAACCAAAUAUUCGAUCACGUAGUCCUCUUCGAUCAAGAAGUCCAUUAGUUAAAAGUCGAAGGACACCUGACUUUUAUUCUGCAGAUUCACGGCCUCCCUUUAGGCGUUCUGGUGGUCGUCCCAUGUCUCCGAGAAGACAUUUUAAUGAUAGGCCUGAAAAUCAUAUGAGGGACCGAGGAAGUCGGCCUAGAAGUUCAGAAAGAAAUGGUAGAUCUCGUAGUCCAAGACCUCUUAGAGAACAAAGACGGUCAAGAGAAAGGCCUUCUAGGAUGCGCAGAAGAGGCAGCCCUUACAGGAGAUUAAGAACAGGCGCUGGUGAGCAAGAUCAGGAUCAGAAACACCGGCGUACUGAAAAGGACAAAUACAAAGAUAGUCUUUCGGAAGGAUUGAAAGUACAGCAUGAUGAAUCAUCUGAUGACCAAAUUGUGGAUCUUGAAUUAGAAGAAGAGGAGGAGGAGGAUGAAGAGAUUGUUAUUCAAAGACAUCGACAAGAAAGACAAGAAUUGCUAAAAAGACUUCAAGUUGAAAAUUCACAUGGUGGUAGUGGCUUAUCUACUCCAGCUAUUUCUAAUAAUGGUGCCGAUACUCCAGAUUCUGUGAUAAUUGGAGAUGAGGUUGCUGCUAGCUUCUUGGCUGAGCAGGAUGAUCAAUCAAAUGAUUUUGAAGCAUCUAUAAUGGAUAAGAGAAAAAUAAUGGGUCUCCAAGAGUCUGUUGCCGAAAAUACAAAUGAUGCUGAAAAAAAGAAAAAACUGGAUAUGUUUUCCGAAGCGGAUAACUUGUUGUCUGAUCUUGGUCCCGGGGCUUCAUGCCUGAUUUCAGCAACUGGGCAAGAAAACCCAAACCUAACAGAUAACUGGGAUGAUGCUGAGGGAUACUAUCGUGUGAGAAUAGGUGAAGUUCUUGAUACAAGGUACACAGUAUAUGGCUAUACUGGCCAGGGUGUAUUUAGUAAUGUAAUUAGAGCUAGGGAUAUGGCCCGAGGAAAUCAAGAUGUUGCCAUCAAAAUAAUAAGAAAUAAUGAAAUAAUGCACAAAACUGGUUUGAAAGAAUUAGAAAUGCUGCGGCGAUUGAAUGAUGCUGAUCCAGAUGAUAAAUUUCACUGCCUUAGAUUGUAUCGUAGUUUUUUCCAUAAACAGCAUCUUUGUUUAGUGUUCGAGCCUUUGUGCAUGAAUUUGAGAGAGGUUCUUAAGAAAUAUGGCAAAGAUGUUGGUCUUCAUAUCAAAGCUGUUCGUUCUUACAGUCAGCAGUUGUUCUUAGCUCUUAAACUUCUAAAACGUUGCAAUAUCUUGCAUGCUGAUAUUAAACCAGAUAAUAUUUUGGUUAAUGAUCGUAAGCUUGUUUUAAAGCUGUGUGAUUUCGGCUCUGCGUCUCAUGUUGCAGAGAAUGACGUAACUCCUUAUCUUGUAAGCAGAUUUUAUCGGGCGCCAGAAAUUAUUCUAGGCUUAAACUAUGACUUUGGCAUUGACACAUGGAGUGUUGGCUGUACUUUGUACGAAUUGUAUACUGGGAAAAUUAUGUUUCCUGGAAAAUCAAAUAACCAAAUGCUGAAACAAUUUAUGGACUUAAAAGGGAAAUUUCCCAAUAAGCUGAUAAAGAAAGGAGCAUUCAGAGAACAACAUUUCAAUAGUAGCUGUAAUUUCUUAUCACAUGAAGUUGAUAAAGUGACAGAAAGGGAAAAAGUUGUUGUACUUACUAACAUUAAUCCAAGCCGUGAUCUUCAAGCUGAACUGAUGGGUUCUCAAAGACUUCCUGAUGAUCAGUAUCGUAAAGUUUGUCAAUUAAAAGAUUUAUUAGAAAAAAUUUUAAUGCUUGAUCCUGCAAAAAGGAUAUCUAUUAAUCAAGCAUUAACUCAUCCUUUCAUACAAGAGAAAAUUUGAAUAAAAUACUCUAAUUUUGAUGAAAAUAUAAGCAUCUUAGAAGGUUUUUAAGGACUGAGGACCAUCAUGAGUUAGAACUUGAAGAAGUUUAAAGAACUCUUAAACACACUUUGUUUUAUUGUAUAAUAUGAGUAUGAAAAUAACACGUAGUUUCUUGAGCGACGGCUUGCUGUUACCAUAUGCUCUGUAUGCUGACAAAAAGCAGUAUAAUGAAUGUGGCUCUCAGAAGUUGGUUAAACUGGAAUUCCUGUUUCAAGCCUUGCCACCUACUACCUGUUGCCCUCUGAAGGUAGCAUUUUAAAGAAAAGGGAGAAUAAAACUCAGCUAAAAAUUUAUGUUAUUUUCUGUCUAUUUUUAAAUAUUUAGCUUAAAUUGAUUUCAUUAAAACUUAAAUGGUAACUGUAAAUAUUUUUCUUUAACAGACUUUUUUUAACAUUAUUAAUAUCCUUUAUCAAAUACUAUUUAGAAAAGUGUUAAUUACUCUUAUUUUAAUGAUACAAAAUUUGUAAUUAAGUAUCAUGAUUCUUGUUAUUACAGUGAAAUCAAUCUCAACUAGAAUUUAAAUGAAAUUUAUAAAAUACAAGAAUACUUUUAAAGAUAAACUUGCUUCUAUAAUUAAUCAAUGGCCGUGUUUCCUUCAGUCAAAAGUACUACUUUUAGUCACUGAAAUUGAUAGAAUAAGCGUAAAAAAAUACAUGGAGCCAGAAAAUACUUUUGUUUUCUCAGCACUUCAUUUUUGAUUAAUUUUUUAAAAUGUUAGAUUUCUAAAAAAUGUUCCAUCAGGUGACAUCACAAGUGAGGAAAGCCAUCUUGAAUCUUUGCGUGUGGUUGUCUUUUUGGCAAGAUAUCGCCUUUCAGUGAUUUUUCACUGCAAGCAAUUAUUAGUUUAACAAGAAUUGUUAGUUAAAUAAAAUAUUCAUUUAGCGAAAUGAGGCAAUGUCCUGGAACUUUAUUCUGGUAACCCUAGCAACUUGCUCACUUGCGAUGAAAAAAUGAAAAUAGCGCUAAACUCUUUUCAGAUUUUUUUUAAAGAAAGAAAAUAAGUUGAAAUUAAAAAAACAAGUAACACCCCAUGUUUUGACCUUGCUCUUUCAGGAAAAAAUAUUUAAAAAAAAAUAGGAAACAACCCAAUUAUUGCAAUAAUAAUUUCAAAUUGGGAGAUAGAUUUCACUGUGUUCAAUCUUUAAUCACCCGUAUCUGAAAAAGUUUACUUGAUUGUCUUCAGGAACAAAAUCGAGGCUCCAGCACUGGCUUGGAAAAGAUGAUGAAGCUUGCUGCCUACUUGCUUCUUUUCAUUCUGAAGGUAGAAACUAAAGUUAGGAAUAAAAAUUGAAAGUAAAUAUAAUUAUCAUAUGAAUAUUGAACAUCUAAAUCAUAUUUAAAAAAUCUUUAUGAAUUUCAGGCUAUCGGUACAAUAUGUAGAAAAUGAUGGAAGAUAUUUCCUGGUUAAACUGUAGAACAAAGUUUGCGAAAUUUGUCGACGUUGCACUUAAUGUUUUGUGUGUGUGUUUCUUGUAUAUAUGUGCAUGCACACAUGCUUUCUCCUUUAUUUUGGUUCUUUUUAAUUUUAUUUUGAAAUCAUAAAAAGAAAAAAAAAUAUUUUAAUGUUAUUUCUGAUGCAAAUUUUUGUAUGAUUUUGUAUGUUAGUAAAAUUUCCGACAUGCAUGCUCAACAAUUCUCAUUUUAAACAAAGCUGGUCAAGUGUUAAAAGUUUUAAAUCCCGAUAUUGACUGCUUGACUUUAAAUUCUUUUUGUAUUAUUUACUAUUUAUUUUGUUUCACUAAAUUCUCUUUCUAGUACGGACAGAAUUUUAAAUUUUUAUUCAAAGUUAUAUUAUUUGAGGUUUUGUUUUAUGAAAAUUCCAUGUUGUACAGUUCCUUUGUUUUUGUUCAAUUCUCGAAAUUUAAAGCUAGGUUUUUCUCAUUUCUAACUUGUAGUUGAUUUGAUAUUUUGCAUAUCUUUGGAUUCAAACUGCUUGAGGAAGUGAUAAAUCUUGAUUUCAUCAUAGUAUAACUUUUGAUAUUUUUACUUAAAAUGUUUUAAACAUUUUAUCAGAUGUCUUUUCCAAAGAGUUUGUUAAGCUUAGAAAUUGCAGAACAAAUAAGAUAAAUAUUUUAACCAAUACUUCAGCAUUGCGAUCAGAGAUAUGCAGAACUUAAAUCAUAUGAAAUACCUUAGCGAUAAAAACAAUAGUAUUUUUUUUAGACAUAAAUUUCACUUUAUUUUAAGUUACACCUUUUUUGCCAUUUAUUGCAAAUAGCAUUAUUUUAUGAAAACUUUGCUGAAAAAACUAAGGAGAAAUGAUUAUGCUACACGUAUUGAAAUGUUGACUAUUUUUUGUAAUGUAUAUUGCACUCUUGAUGAAACUGUAAAUAUUGAAUUUGUUUAUUAAA
Molecule: RNA transcript, 5333 nt
Organism: Uloborus diversus
Lineage: Eukaryota; Metazoa; Arthropoda; Arachnida; Araneae; Uloboridae
Gene: Prp4k
Gene name: serine/threonine-protein kinase PRP4 homolog
Exons: 18
Source: RefSeq, a predicted model, not a curated record